GUACUACUCCCUUCGUUCGGAAUUAUUUGUCUCGGAACUGGAUGUAUCUGAAACUAAAAUACAUUUAAAUACAUCCAUCUCUGAGACAAGUAAUUCCAAACGGAGGGAGUACUAC
Triticum aestivum (bread wheat) is the source of this 115-nucleotide non-coding RNA. Lineage: Eukaryota; Viridiplantae; Streptophyta; Magnoliopsida; Poales; Poaceae. The record is from Rfam.